This 296-nucleotide ribosomal RNA is filed under the name Bacillus sp. Cimanggu. RNAcentral describes it as "partial 16S ribosomal RNA". It matches the Rfam family "Bacterial small subunit ribosomal RNA", at positions 358 to 645 of the family's 1533-position model. Lineage: Bacteria; Bacillati; Bacillota; Bacilli; Caryophanales; Bacillaceae. The record is from RNAcentral.
GGAAUCUUCCGCAAUGGGCGAAAGCCUGACGGAGCGACGCCGCGUGAGCGAAGAAGGCCUUCGGGUCGUAAAGCUCUGUUGUGAGGGACGAAGGAGCGCCGUUCGAAGAGGGCGGCGCGGUGACGGUACCUCACGAGAAAGCCCCGGCUAACUACGUGCCAGCAGCCGCGGUAAUACGUAGGGGGCGAGCGUUGUCCGGAAUUAUUGGGCGUAAAGCGCGCGCAGGCGGCCCCUUAAGUCUGAUGUGAAAGCCCACGGCUCAACCGUGGAGGGUCAUUGGAAACUGGGGGACUUGA